AGGACGAACGCUGGCGGCGUGCCUAACACAUGCAAGUCGAACGGGGUUAUGCCUUCGGGUGUAGACCAAGUGGCGGACGGGUGAGUAACGCGUGAGUGACCUGCCUUACAGAGGGGGAUAACACUUGGAAACAGGUGCUAAAACCGCAUAAGACCACGGCCCUGCAUGGGGCUGGGGUAAAAUGAGCGAUCAGCUGUAAGAGGGGCUCGCGUCUCAUUAGAUAGUUGGCGGGAUAACAGCCCACCAAGUCAACGAUGAGUAGCCGGCCUGAGAGGGUGGACGGCCACACUGGGACUGAGACACGGCCCAGACUCCUACGGGAGGCAGCAGUGGGGAAUAUUGGGCAAUGGGGGGAAAAACCCCCUGACCCAGCGACGCCGCGUGAGGGAAGAAGGUUUUCGGAUUGUAAACCUCUGUACUGCGGGACGAGGAGAAGACGGUACCGCAGAAGGAAGCCCCGGCUAACUACGUGCCAGCAGCAGC
Molecule: ribosomal RNA, 483 nt
Filed under: uncultured bacterium
Lineage: Bacteria
Description: bacterial SSU rRNA
Rfam family: Bacterial small subunit ribosomal RNA
Source: RNAcentral